GGCUUUAUAGUUUAAUUAGAACACUGGUUUUGUAAAUCAGGGGUGGGCUUGCCCUUAAGCCU
Molecule: transfer RNA, 62 nt
Filed under: Ligula intestinalis
Lineage: Eukaryota; Metazoa; Platyhelminthes; Cestoda; Diphyllobothriidea; Diphyllobothriidae
Description: tRNA-Thr
Rfam family: tRNA
About the family: Transfer RNA (tRNA) molecules are approximately 80 nucleotides in length. Their secondary structure includes four short double-helical elements and three loops (D, anti-codon, and T loops).
Source: RNAcentral